RNAcentral lists this ribosomal RNA (451 nucleotides) under uncultured bacterium. RNAcentral's name for it is "partial 16S ribosomal RNA". It matches the Rfam family "Bacterial small subunit ribosomal RNA", at positions 354 to 796 of the family's 1533-position model. The record is from RNAcentral.
GUGGGGAAUAUUGGACAAUGGGGGGAACCCUGAUCCAGCCAUGCCGCGUGUGUGAAGAAGGCCUUUUGGUUGUAAAGCACUUUAAGCGAGGAGGAGGCUACCGAGAUUAAUACUCUUGGAUAGUGGACGUUACUCGCAGAAUAAGCACCGGCUAACUCUGUGCCAGCAGCCGCGGUAAUACAGAGGGUGCGAGCGUUAAUCGGAUUUACUGGGCGUAAAGCGUUCGUAGGCGGCUUUUUAAGUCGGAUGUGAAAUCCCCGAGCUUAACUUGGGAAGUGCAGUCGAUACUGGUUGGCUAGAGUAUGGGAGAGGAUGGUAGAAUUCCAGGUGUAGCGGUGAAAUGCGUAGAGAUCUGGAGGAAUACCGAUGGCGAAGGCAGCCAUCUGGCCUAAUACUGACACUGAGGUGCGAAAGCAUGGGGAGCAAACAGGAUUAGAAACCCUAGUAGUCC